RNAcentral lists this ribosomal RNA (253 nucleotides) under uncultured bacterium. Its description in RNAcentral is "partial 16S ribosomal RNA". It matches the Rfam family "Bacterial small subunit ribosomal RNA", at positions 524 to 776 of the family's 1533-position model. The record is from RNAcentral.
UACGUAGGGGGCAAGCGUUGUCCGGAUUUAUUGGGCGUAAAGAGCGUGUAGGUGGCCAUACAGGUCCGUUGUGAAAACUGGAGGCUUAACCUCCAGACGUCGAUGGAAACCGUAUGGCUAGAGUCCGGAAGAGGAGAGUGGAAUUCCUGGUGUAGCGGUGAAAUGCGCAGAUAUCAGGAAGAACACCCGUGGCGAAGGCGGCUCUCUGGGACGGUACUGACGCUGAGACGCGAAAGCGUGGGGAGCGAACAGG